GACGAACGCUGGCGGCGUGCCUAAUACAUGCAAGUAGAACGCUGAAGGAGGAGCUUGCUUCUCUGGAUGAGUUGCGAACGGGUGAGUAACGCGUAGGUAACCUGCCUGGUAGCGGGGGAUAACUAUUGGAAACGAUAGCUAAUACCGCAUAAGAGUAGAUGUUGCAUGACAUUUGCUUAAAAGGUGCAAUUGCAUCACUACCAGAUGGACCUGCGUUGUAUUAGCUAGUUGGUGGGGUAACGGCUUACCAAGGCGACGAUACAUAGCCGACCUGAGGGGGUGAUCGGCCACACUGGGACUGAGACACGGCCCAGACUCCUACGGGAGGCAGCAGUAGGGAAUCUUCGGCAAUGGACGGAAGUCUGACCGAGCAACGCCGCGUGAGUGAAGAAGGUUUUCGGAUCGUAAAGCUCUGUUGUAAGAGAAGAACGAGUGUGAGAGUGGAAAGUUCACACUGUGACGGUAUCUUACCAGAAAGGGACGGCUAACUACGUG
RNAcentral lists this ribosomal RNA (495 nucleotides) under uncultured bacterium. RNAcentral's name for it is "partial 16S ribosomal RNA". It matches the Rfam family "Bacterial small subunit ribosomal RNA", at positions 28 to 507 of the family's 1533-position model. The record is from RNAcentral.